RNAcentral lists this ribosomal RNA (253 nucleotides) under uncultured bacterium. RNAcentral's name for it is "partial 16S ribosomal RNA". It matches the Rfam family "Bacterial small subunit ribosomal RNA", at positions 524 to 776 of the family's 1533-position model. The record is from RNAcentral.
UACGUAGGGUGCGAGCGUUGUCCGGAAUUAUUGGGCGUAAAGCGCGCGUAGGCGGUUACUCAAGUCGGAUGUGAAAGCCCUCGGCUUAACUGAGGAAGUGCACCCGAAACUGAGUAGCUAGAGUACUAAAGAGGGUCGCGGAAUUCCCGGUGUAGAGGUGAAAUUCGUAGAUAUUCGCAAGAACACCAGUGGCGAAGGCGGCUCACUGGCCCGAUACUGACGCUGAGGUGCGAAAGCGUGGGGAGCAAACAGG